RNAcentral lists this ribosomal RNA (311 nucleotides) under Lactobacillus sp. HMSC068F07. Its description in RNAcentral is "bacterial LSU rRNA". It matches the Rfam family "Bacterial large subunit ribosomal RNA", at positions 380 to 694 of the family's 2925-position model. Lineage: Bacteria; Bacillati; Bacillota; Bacilli; Lactobacillales; Lactobacillaceae. The record is from RNAcentral.
CGAAACGGCGGACUCUCCGUCCAGGAUCCUGAGUACGGCGGAACACGUGAAAUUCCGUCGGAAUCCGGGAGGACCAUCUCCCAAGGCUAAAUACUCCCUAGUGACCGAUAGUGAACCAGUACCGUGAGGGAAAGGUGAAAAGCACCCCGGAAGGGGAGUGAAACAGUUCCUGAAACCGUGUGCCUACAAUUAGUCAAAGCCCGUUAAGGGGUAAUGGCGUGCCUUUUGUAGAAUGAACCGGCGAGUUACGUUUGCCUGCGAGGUUAAGAUGAAAAGUCGGAGCCGGAGCGAAAGCGAGUCUGAACAGGGCG